AUUGAACGCUGGCGGCAUGCCUUACACAUGCAAGUCGAACGGCAGCACGGGAGCAAUCCUGGUGGCGAGUGGCGAACGGGUGAGUAAAGUAUCGGAACGUGCCCAGUCGUGGGGGAUAACGUAGCGAAAGUUGUGCUAAUACCGCAUACGUACUGAGGUAGAAAGUGGGGGACCUUCGGGCCUCACGCUAUUCGAGCGGCCGACGUCUGAUUAGCUAGUAGGUGAGGUAAAGGCUCACCUAGGCGACGAUCAGUAGCGGGUCUGAGAGGAUGAUCCGACACACUGGGACUGAGACACGGCCCAGACUCCUACGGGAGGCAGCAGUGGGGAAUGUUGGACAAUGGGCGAAAGCCUGAUCCAGCCAUGCCGCGUGUCUGAAGAAGGCCUUCGGGUUGUAAAGGACCUUUGUCAGGGAGGAAAUCCCUAGUGCUAAUAACACUGGGGGAUGACAGUACCUGAAGAAUAAGCACCGGCUAACUACGUGUCAGCAGCCGCCGUAA
RNAcentral lists this ribosomal RNA (500 nucleotides) under uncultured bacterium. Its description in RNAcentral is "partial 16S ribosomal RNA". It matches the Rfam family "Bacterial small subunit ribosomal RNA", at positions 30 to 523 of the family's 1533-position model. The record is from RNAcentral.